GGAAACCUACGGGAGGCAGCAGUGGGGAAUAUUGCACAAUGGGGGAAACCCUGAUGCAGCGACGCCGCGUGAGUGAAGAAGUAUUUCGGUAUGUAAAGCUCUAUCAGCAGGGAAGAUAAUGACGGUACCUGAGUAAGAAGCCCCGGCUAACUACGUGCCAGCAGCCGCGGUAAUACGUAGGGGGCAAGCGUUAUCCGGAUUUACUGGGUGUAAAGGGAGCGUAGACGGAGGAGCAAGUCUGAUGUGAAAAUCCGGGGC
RNAcentral lists this ribosomal RNA (258 nucleotides) under uncultured bacterium. Its description in RNAcentral is "partial 16S ribosomal RNA". It matches the Rfam family "Bacterial small subunit ribosomal RNA", at positions 333 to 608 of the family's 1533-position model. The record is from RNAcentral.